Molecule: non-coding RNA, 189 nt
Organism: Cavia porcellus (domestic guinea pig)
Lineage: Eukaryota; Metazoa; Chordata; Mammalia; Rodentia; Caviidae
Source: Rfam
AUAACUUCUAGGCCUUUUGGCUAAGAUGAAGUGUAGUGACAUCGUAUUUCCCAGGUACAUCCAUUCUCGGGCUUUAUAAGCAUUGUUGUAGUAUGAUGUCUCAGGCUCUUGAGGAGGACAUCUAGCUGGAGGAUGCAUCUCAGGGUUACAUGGGAUUUUAAUUUCAGUUCUUUGAGAAGUCUUCAUAUU